This 431-nucleotide ribosomal RNA is filed under the name uncultured bacterium. RNAcentral describes it as "bacterial SSU rRNA". It matches the Rfam family "Bacterial small subunit ribosomal RNA", at positions 29 to 507 of the family's 1533-position model. The record is from RNAcentral.
AACGAACGCUGGCGGCAGGCCUAACACAUGCAAGUCGAGCGCGCCUUCGGGCGAGCGGCGGACGGGUUAGUAACGCGUGGGAACGUGCCCAGAUCUACGGAAUAGCCACUGGAAACGGUGAGUAAUACCGUAUACGCCCUUCGGGGGAAAGAUUUAUCGGAUUUGGAUCGGCCCGCGUUAGAUUAGGUAGUUGGUGGGGUAACGGCCUACCAAGCCUACGAUCUAUAGCUGGUUUUAGAGGAUGAUCAGCAACACUGGGACUGAGACACGGCCCAGACUCCUACGGGAGGCAGCAGUGGGGAAUCUUAGACAAUGGGGGCAACCCUGAUCUAGCCAUGCCGCGUGAGUGAUGAAGGCCUUAGGGUCGUAAAGCUCUUUCGCCUGUGAUGAUAAUGACAGUAGCAGGUAAAGAAACCCCGGCUAACUCCGUG